UUCUUAUCAAGAGAGGUGGAGGGACUGGCCCUUUGAUACCUCGGCAACGGGUUCUUACGUGAAUACCGUGCCAAUUCCAACCAGGUGAAAGCCUGAAAGAUGAGAG
This 106-nucleotide non-coding RNA is filed under the name Pontibacillus chungwhensis. Its description in RNAcentral is "SAM-I sequence". It matches the Rfam family "SAM riboswitch aptamer (S box leader)". Rfam says of the family: The SAM riboswitch is found upstream of a number of genes which code for proteins involved in methionine or cysteine biosynthesis in Gram-positive bacteria. The record is from RNAcentral. Lineage: Bacteria; Bacillati; Bacillota; Bacilli; Caryophanales; Bacillaceae. RNAcentral also lists the same sequence under 1 other name.